CCUACGGGAGGCAGCAGUGAGGAAUAUUGCUCAAUGGACGCAAGUCUGAACCAGCCAUGCCGCGUGCAGGAAGACGGCUCUAUGAGUUGUAAACUGCUUUUGUACGAGGGUAAACGCAGAUACGUAUUUCUGUCUGAAUUUAUCGUACGUGUAAGGAACGGCUAACUCCGUGCCAGCAGCCGCGGUAAUACGGAGGAUUCAAGCGUUAUCCGGAUUUAUUGGGUUUAAAGGGUGCGUAGGCGGUCGGUUAAGUUAGAGGUGAAAGCCCGAGGCUCAACUUCGGAAUUGCCUUUGAUACUGUUAGGCUAGAGAGUAGUUGAGGUAGGUGGAAUGUAUGGUGUAGGGGUGAAAUGCUUAGAGAUCAUACAGAACACCGAUUGCGAAGGCAGCUUACCGAGAUACUUCUGACGUUGAGGCACGAAAGCGUGGGGAGCAAACAGGAUUAGAUACCCUUGUAGUC
This 460-nucleotide ribosomal RNA is filed under the name uncultured bacterium. RNAcentral's name for it is "partial 16S ribosomal RNA". It matches the Rfam family "Bacterial small subunit ribosomal RNA", at positions 338 to 795 of the family's 1533-position model. The record is from RNAcentral.